AUUCCCGUACUUCUGACUAUUGCGAUGGGGGGACGGAGAAGGCUAGGUGGGCCAGGCGACGGUUGUCCUGGUUCAAGUGCGUAGGCUUGAGAGUUAGGUAAAUCCGGCUCUCUCUAAGGCUGAGACACGACGUCGAGCUACUACGGUAGUGAAGUCAUUGAUGCCAUGCUUCCAGGAAAAGCCUCUAAGCUUCAGAUAGUCAGGAAUCGUACCCCAAACCGACACAGGUGGUCGG
RNAcentral lists this ribosomal RNA (235 nucleotides) under Vibrio cholerae. Its description in RNAcentral is "partial 23S ribosomal RNA". It matches the Rfam family "Bacterial large subunit ribosomal RNA", at positions 1435 to 1670 of the family's 2925-position model. Lineage: Bacteria; Pseudomonadati; Pseudomonadota; Gammaproteobacteria; Vibrionales; Vibrionaceae. The record is from RNAcentral.